ACUGGGGGAUAGCCCGCCGAAAGGCGGAUUAAUACCGCAUAAACCAACAGUGUGGCAUCGCAUAAUUGGUAAAGAUUUAUUGGUUCAGGAUGGGGUUGCGUAGCAUUAGCUAGUUGGCGGGGUAACGGCCCACCAAGGCGACGAUGCUUAGGGGACCUGAGAGGGUGAUCCCCCACACUGGCACUGAGAUACGGGCCAGACUCCUACGGGAGGCAGCAGUAGGGAAUAUUGGGCAAUGGACGAGAGUCUGAGCCAGCCAUGCCGCGUGCCGGAUGAAGGCCUUCUGGGUUGUAAACGGCUUUUCUCAGGGAAGAAAAAGACCAUGCGUGGGACACUGACGGUACCUGAGGAAUAAGCACCGGCUAACUCCGUGCCAGCAGCCGGGGUAAUACGGAGGGUGCAAGCGUUGUCCGGAUUUAUUG
This 422-nucleotide ribosomal RNA is filed under the name uncultured Hymenobacter sp. RNAcentral describes it as "bacterial SSU rRNA". It matches the Rfam family "Bacterial small subunit ribosomal RNA", at positions 135 to 556 of the family's 1533-position model. The record is from RNAcentral. Lineage: Bacteria; Pseudomonadati; Bacteroidota; Cytophagia; Cytophagales; Hymenobacteraceae.